CCUACGGGUGGCUGCAGUGGGGAAUAUUGGACAAUGGGCGAAAGCCUGAUCCAGCCAUGCCGCGUGUGUGAAGAAGGCCUUCGGGUUGUAAAGCACUUUCAGUGGGGAAGAAAGCCUUGGGGCUAAUACCCUCGAGGAAGGACAUCACCCACAGAAGAAGCACCGGCUAACUCCGUGCCAGCAGCCGCGGUAAUACGGAGGGUGCGAGCGUUAAUCGGAAUUACUGGGCGUAAAGCGCGCGUAGGCGGUCUGAUAAGCCGGGUGUGAAAGCCCCGGGCUCAACCUGGGAACGGCAUCCGGAACUGUCAGGCUAGAGUGCAGGAGAGGAAGGUAGAAUUCCCGGUGUAGCGGUGAAAUGCGUAGAGAUCGGGAGGAAUACCAGUGGCGAAGGCGGCCUUCUGGACUGACACUGACGCUGAGGUGCGAAAGCGUGGGUAGCAAUCAGGAUUAGAUACCCGGGUAGUC
This 465-nucleotide ribosomal RNA is filed under the name Vreelandella stevensii. RNAcentral's name for it is "partial 16S ribosomal RNA". It matches the Rfam family "Bacterial small subunit ribosomal RNA", at positions 338 to 795 of the family's 1533-position model. The record is from RNAcentral. Lineage: Bacteria; Pseudomonadati; Pseudomonadota; Gammaproteobacteria; Oceanospirillales; Halomonadaceae.